ACUGUUUGUGUUUUGACUUUAGGUCACCUUCAUCAUGAUUCCAGCCGUCCUCUUCCUCCUUUUGUUCUCAGUGACAAAUGUCCUGCUGAGCACACCAGUUGAUGAUGAGGAUGAUGUGGAAACCCCUGAGCUGCUUGAUGACAUYGCCAUUCCCGACACUCGGACCAGGAAUGCGGACCCAUGCACCGCCAAAGGCUGCAAGUGGCCCAAAUCCGGAUGCUUUGUUAACGUGCCCUACGAGAUCUCCUCUG
Molecule: non-coding RNA, 251 nt
Organism: Poecilia reticulata (guppy)
Lineage: Eukaryota; Metazoa; Chordata; Actinopteri; Cyprinodontiformes; Poeciliidae
Source: RefSeq, a predicted model, not a curated record